GCUCCCUUGGUCUAGCCUGGAUAAGAUACGACCUUGCGGAGGUUGUGACCUGGGUUCGAAGACGGUCAAGUGGGACGUUCGCUUCGCGAAGCCCCACGGAUAAUGCUAGAGAAUGUCGAAAGUCCCAGAGGGAGCG
This 136-nucleotide transfer RNA is filed under the name Candidatus Woesearchaeota archaeon. RNAcentral's name for it is "tRNA-Arg". The record is from RNAcentral. Lineage: Archaea; Nanobdellati; Candidatus Woesearchaeota.